Myotis myotis is the source of this 224-nucleotide long non-coding RNA. RefSeq lists it as uncharacterized. The transcript is spliced from 4 exons. NCBI's taxonomy places the organism in Eukaryota, Metazoa, Chordata, Mammalia, Chiroptera, Vespertilionidae. The record is from RefSeq and is a predicted model, not a curated record.
AGACUCCUCCCUCAGAAUGGAAUUUCUUAUCCUGGCUGGCCUUUUGAGCACUGCCACUGCUCUGCCCAUCCCUCUCGAACAAUCUGGAGGCAGUUCCAGUGAUCAGAGAUUUAGCUUUUACCCACCCCCAGGACUACCAUUUUUUCCUCAGAUCCCAUUUUUCCCACCUCCCCAACUUCCCCCAAUUCCAAUUCCUCUUCCUUUUCCAUAUAAUCCAAAUCAGG